Molecule: ribosomal RNA, 497 nt
Filed under: uncultured bacterium
Lineage: Bacteria
Description: partial 16S ribosomal RNA
Rfam family: Bacterial small subunit ribosomal RNA
Source: RNAcentral
GAUGAACGCUGGCGGCGUGCCUAAUACAUGCAAGUCGAGCGAACAGACGAGGAGCUUGCUCCUCUGACGUUAGCGGCGGACGGGUGAGUAACACGUGGAUAACCUACCUAUAAGACUGGGAUAACUUCGGGAAACCGGAGCUAAUACCGGAUAAUAUAUUGAACCGCAUUGUUCAAUAGUGAAAGACGGUUUUGCUGUCACUUAUAGAUGGAUCCGCGCCGCAUUAGCUAGUUGGUAAGGUAACGGCUUACCAAGGCAACGAUGCGUAGCCGACCUGAGAGGGUGAUCGGCCACACUGGAACUGAGACACGGUCCAGACUCCUACGGGAGGCAGCAGUAGGGAAUCUUCCGCAAUGGGCGAAAGCCUGACGGAGCAACGCCGCGUGAGUGAUGAAGGUCUUCGGAUCGUAAAACUCUGUUAUUAGGGAAGAACAAAUGUGUAAGUAACUAUGCACGUCUUGACGGUACCUAAUCAGAAAGCCACGGCUAACUACGUG